This 1062-nucleotide long non-coding RNA is filed under the name Androctonus crassicauda. Lineage: Eukaryota; Metazoa; Arthropoda; Arachnida; Scorpiones; Buthidae. The record is from RNAcentral.
AUUCAUAUAUAGUUUACGCCAGUAAAACUAAUUAUUAUUAUUUUUUUAAUUAAAACAAUAAAAAUAUGACUGAGAUGAGAAUAAUUUUGUUUGAAACAUAUAAUUGCCUAUAAACAUAUUUUAAUCUAUAAAAUAGCUCGGUAACUUGAUUAUUUUUUUAAACUUAUAAUUGGAAUGAAAUAGCAUUGCAUUUUUUUCAUAAAAUAACAAAUUUCAAUAGAUGAUAUAUAAAUUCUAUAAGUCUAUACACACCAGGAAUUUGUUCCUAUUCACUAGACUCCCGUGGGAUAACAGAAAACGUGAAAAAGGAAUUGUCAUUUCCAGAUGUCAAACCAAUAUUUACAGCAGUAGCUUAGAAAUGAUAAAUACAGUUCAUUGCCCUAAACACGGCUUUAUCCUACUUUUCUCAUAUUUCAAAUUUAUUAUUAUAUAAAAAAAAAAAAAAUGCAGAUUACGUGUUGAGGCGUAUAGAGUUUCAAUAGGCGUGUAUGUAAAUCAUUUUCACUUACAAUGCUUCUGUUGUUCAACAGUUAAAACAGAGGCGAGGUAUCACAUAUCCUUACAAGAAUUGCUAGUCUGAAUGAUCUCUUGUGGAGUACAUAAAAUGCAAAUUUUGGAUUUCUGUAAGAGUUAGUUCAUUUAAUCAGAGAAUGCAUUUUUUGUUUUAUAUAGAAUACAAAAUGAUCGAUUUCGAGCUAUAAAAUUAGGUUAUCGAUAUGUUAAUUCAUGCGGAAGCAAUGAGCGAUUCGUUACUAAACGGGGCAUCUGUUAAAGUUGAAAGAAUUAAUUAACAUUUUCUUGUUAGAAAAAAAAAAACAUGUAACAAGAUUUUAAUGCGAAAGAAAGGUUGUUAAUCUACAUUAUCUGUUAUUUAUGCUGCAUUUUGCAAAUAUAGUUUUGCGUAACGUAAUAUAGAUUUUUUUUUCCUUUUAAUUAUAUAAUUAAAAUAUGGCUAAAUUUCAAUAAGAUCAUAUUAUAAAAGGUCCCACGCUUUAAUAAUAAUAAUAAAAAAAAAAAAAAAACAGGAAAAGUAUAGAUCCAGAGUUGGCCGGAAAGUUGGAG